This 4154-nucleotide long non-coding RNA is filed under the name Daucus carota (carrot). RNAcentral's name for it is "long non-coding RNA (DCAR_LNC003419)". The record is from RNAcentral. Lineage: Eukaryota; Viridiplantae; Streptophyta; Magnoliopsida; Apiales; Apiaceae.
UUUAAUAAAAUUUGUACAGUACUCAUUCUCGAGGGCCCACUUUGAGGGCAUCCUUUCUUCUUCUACUUCCAAACUACGCCUCCUCACCUUCUGAGUUGUUUUCUUCCCCUCUGCAUUGCAUAAUUCAUUAUGCUUUGCAGAGCCCAUUUGCUCAAAAAGGAACCCCUUCUUUUUGUUUUUUGGGAAUCUCAAGCUCAAUUACUUCAAUCUUGAUUCACCAAGGUAACUUCUUUGUCUUAAUCUUAAUGCCCUUUGUGUUAGAUUUGCUUUCACCCCAUGUUUCAAGAUUUAGAUUUGCUUCAUUUGUGAUAAAGUUAAGGCCUUUACUUGUGUUGUUUACAAGAGUUAGUACAUGAGAAUGUGUGGACAUGUUUUGCGUACUGUAUUGAGGUUUGGUAUGUAACUAAUUGAUUAGUUGACUUGUCUUAGUUAAUUGUAUCUGUUUGAUGUGUCUUGCUGUAAGAUUCUAAUCAAGUGGAUGUUCAAACAUUAGUCCCUUUGAUUAAGACUGCUACCAACUUUUAAUUGUAGACAACUUUGUAUAUGUUGCAAGUUUCUAGAGUCUCAAGAAGGUUUUGGUAGAAUGACAUUAAUUUGUUUGCAAUUGAAUUGUUUUGCAGAUAUUUGACAUUUUUUUUUGGAUCGAGAAGGCUAUGGGUUGAUUUCGCAGAAACCUGAGAUUUCGGAGGACAAUUUAGUUUUGUUAUUAGGUUAAUGAAAUGGCAUCCGGGGAUUUAAAUGCACAAUUAAAUAAGAAAGUUUUAGGCAGUCAUCUAUGGGUGGUCAUUUGCAUAGGGGUCAGUGCGUUUAUAGUAUUGAUUCUGUGUAUCUUAUCUUUGUGGGUCACAUGUCGAAAAAGAUCUAAGAGGACCAAUAAGAAGUACAAUAACCCUCAAAUACCUUUUGUCUCUAAAGAUAUCAGGGUUGACAGUGUAGGGGUCCAAAAUUUGAAUGAUCAUCCAGAAAGGUUAGUUGUCACAGUUCCUGAUAAAUCAAGUGAUAAGACUUCUGAGAACUUGUUAGCGCACCUAGGUAGAAGUAAAUCAAGUGAUGCUGAUAGCCAGUGCAGCUCGUUGUAUAAUCAAGAGAGGCCCUACAGUUCACAAUCAGGUGAAGAAGGGAGUUCUGGUACGGUUCGAAAGCAGCCCUCGUAUGUAACAGCUUCUCCUUUAAUUGGCUUGCCAGAAAUGUCACAUCUUGGUUGGGGUCAUUGGUUUACUCUUAGAGAUCUUCAGCUUGCAACAAAUCGUUUUUCAGCUGAAAAUGUGAUCGGGGAGGGCGGGUAUGGGGUUGUUUAUCAUGGAACGCUAGUCAAUGGAACUGAAGUAGCAGUGAAGAAGCUUCUAAACAAUCUGUGAGUACAAAUUAACAAACGUGCAAUUUGGAAAAUCACUCUCAAGUCUCGACUCUAUGGUUGCUUCAUUGCAUAUUCUAUUAUAAUCAUCUCGUAUUGUUUUCUGUAGUGGGCAGGCUGAGAGAGAAUUUAGAGUUGAAGUGGAGGCUAUAGGUCAUGUUCGGCAUAAGAAUCUUGUUCGACUUCUUGGCUAUUGUGUGGAAGGGGUUCACAGGUAAGCUUCAAGCUUUUUACUUAUCAGUUAGUUUCUGAAAUGAUCCAAAAAAUGUACUUAAAGUUUGUCUUGUUACUCAGAUAUGUAUAUGCCCUAUAAAAAGUAAACAAGAAUAGUUGAGUUGCGAGUCAGUCAGUGUACUUCUCUGUCAGGAUGGUCCACCUUACUUCUAUUUUGAUCUAACAACUUUGUUUUUCUUUCUUAUUGCAGGAUGCUGGUUUAUGAAUAUAUGAACAAUGGCAACUUAGAACAAUGGCUUCAUGGGGCCAUGCGUGAACGUGGAAGCUUUACUUGGGAUGCCCGUAUGAAGGUCCUUCUUGGCACUGCAAAAGCGUAAGUUAAUUAUGCUCGAGUUGCUUGAACAUUGAUGUUUUUUCUUUUCAUGUACAUAUUAUAUAGUCUUCCUUGUCUGCCUAAUUACUUCCAUCAAUAUCUUUUACUUCCAUUAGGACCUUGUAAAUUUAUUAUCAGUUAUCAAUCAUCUGAGUGUUACAGUCAGUGUAAUUAUCUGCAUGUAAAAUUUACUUUGCUGAUCUUAUCAUGUUGUUUUGCUUGUAACCAUGUGAAUACUUGUUUUCUAUGUGGUUCUGCAGUCUUGCCUACUUGCACGAAGCUAUUGAACCUAAAGUCAUUCAUCGAGAUAUAAAAUCGAGCAAUAUCCUGAUUGAUCGUGAAUUCAAUUCCAAAGUUUCUGACUUUGGAUUGGCCAAGCUCUUGGAUUCAGGAGAAAGUCAUAUAACUACCAGAGUCAUGGGAACAUUUGGGUAUGUACGCCCUUUUCUAAUACACAUGUCUGCUAGCCGUUGAGUAAGAAAUUUAAAUUUAUCAUACGGUAUGGUGUCAAACAUCAGUAUCUUCUGUAAUUUCCAGCUAUGUGGCUCCAGAGUAUGCUAACACUGGCUUGCUAAAUGAAAAGAGUGACAUCUAUAGUUUUGGGGUUCUCCUUCUCGAGGCAAUUACCGGAAGGGACCCGGUGGACUAUAGCCGGCCCUCCAAUGAGGUACGAAGGCCGUACCAGUUAUUCUUUUGAUUUUGACUAGUUUAUCUGACUGUCUAUUCAUCUACUUCUAGUUUGUUGGAGUAAAUAUAAAAAUUCACAUGUAGAGUGUCUAUAGUUGCACCUCUAAAAUUCCUAUUUGUGUUUUUGAUAUUUUAGAUUGUUAAAAUAGAAUAAAUGAUGUGCAAUCUUCCUACAGAUUUCUUACAGACCUGUAGAGGUUCGACAAAUUUAGUCAUCCAUAAGAUGUUGGCUAAAAUUAUAGACAAUAGCUGGGUAUGAUUGGACCAUGAGUUUUUCGAGCUGUUGGCUAAAAGUUUGUAUUUUUAAUAUAUCAACUCAUGUUUUAGCUAAGAGGUUUCAAUGGUUGGAGAUGCUCUAAGAGCAUCUCCAAUAAGUUCUUAAAUAGGCUUCUAACUCAAAAUUUAAAGAGUAUGAUAAAAAAAAUGAGCUCCAAGAGACUGGCUCUUAAAAAACUUAAGAGCCUCUUCUCUCCCCUCUAUUUUAAGAGUCAUGUACUGACUCUUAACUUGUUUUUAAUAAUAAAAAAUGGGAUAAAUAUCAAUGUCAUCACUCAUUUGGUUCAAAUAUAUCAAAUUACUCACUCAUUUGAAAAUUGACUCAAUUUAGUCACUCACUUGUAAUUUUGUAUCAAAAAAAUCACUCUAUCGUUAGUCGAAAUUCUUAAAACUAUUAUAUUUUGAGUUUCUCACAUUUUUUUUUAUAAAUGAUAUUACAUCCAAGUGAAAGAUUCCGAGUUAUAGUAUUUUAGAUAAUAUUUUUAGAUUUUUAAAACUUUAUCAACUAUUUAUUUUUAAUUUUUUGAUUAUUUUAUUUGAUUUAAAUAAAAAAAUAGUAGAUAAAUUUUAAAAAUCUAAAAAUAUUAUCUAAAAUACUAGAACUUAGAAUCUUUCAUUUGGAUGUAAUAUCAUUUAUAAAAAAUGUGAGAAACUCAAUAUAUAAUAUUUUUAAGAAUUUCGAAUAAUGAUGGAGUGAUAUUUUUGAUAUAAAAUUAUAAGUGACUGACUAAAUUGAGUCAAUUUUCAAAUGAGUGAGUAAUUUGAUAUAUUUUAACCAAACGAGUGAUGACAUUGAUAUUUAUCCCAAUAAAAAAUUCAUUCCCUCCACUACAUUAAUUUGAAUCUUUGACAUAAUGGAUUUAGAUAAGAAUAAAAUAUAGGAUAUAGAGAGCAUUGUUGGAGUAUCAAUUUUAAAACUACACUAUAUUACUAAAAAUUAUAUUUUUUAUAUUAUAUUUAGUCUCCGGAGGCUCUCGGACUCUAACCCACUCAAAUAAUGAUACUAGGAAAAUACAAGCAUGUAUAUCUCAACAUUUACUUUAAAGAUUAGAAAUUUGUCCCAACACCUUUAAUAAAAUUUGUACAGUACUCAUUCUCGAGGGCCCACUUUGAGGGCAUCCUUUCUUCUUCUACUUCCAAACUACGCCUCCUCACCUUCUGAGUUGUUUUCUUCCCCUCUGCAUUGCAUAAUUCAUUAUGCUUUGCAGAGCCCAUUUGCUCAAAAAGGAACCCCUUCUUUUUGUUUUUUGGGAAUCUCAAGCUCAAUUACUUCAAUCUUGAUUCACCAAG